UAUAUACUCCCUCCGUACUAAAAUUCUUGUCUUCCGUUUGUCUAAAAAUUGAAUGUAUCUAAAUACUAACACAUGACUAGAUAAAUUCAUAUCUAAACAAAUCAAAGACAAGAAUUUUGGGACGGAGUGAGUAAUAA
Non-coding RNA from Hordeum vulgare subsp. vulgare (domesticated barley), 137 nucleotides. Lineage: Eukaryota; Viridiplantae; Streptophyta; Magnoliopsida; Poales; Poaceae. The record is from Rfam.